AUGGGGCUGCUUUGAUGGUGAUUUCAAUAGUUCCUGGAACCGAUGCUUAACUCAUUGGGAGCUGGCUCUUAUAUAGCUUUGGCUUUAUAAUAUGGCGCCCACCUUAACUUAAGGGUUUGAGAGGUCUUUCGAUUUUCACCUCUAUAGCGGUCCUAUU
This 157-nucleotide non-coding RNA is filed under the name Sphingobacteriia bacterium. RNAcentral describes it as "6S RNA". It matches the Rfam family "6S / SsrS RNA". Rfam says of the family: E. coli 6S RNA was the first non coding RNA to be sequenced, but its function was unknown until recently. Lineage: Bacteria; Pseudomonadati; Bacteroidota; Sphingobacteriia. The record is from RNAcentral.